This 495-nucleotide ribosomal RNA is filed under the name uncultured bacterium. Its description in RNAcentral is "bacterial SSU rRNA". It matches the Rfam family "Bacterial small subunit ribosomal RNA", at positions 36 to 524 of the family's 1533-position model. The record is from RNAcentral.
AGACCUGGCGGCAGCCUAACACAUGCAGUCGAGCGGUUGACGGGAGCUUGCUCCCUGAUUCAGCGGCGGACGGGUGAGUAGUGCCUAGGAAUCUGCCUAUUAGUGGGGGACAACGUUUCGAAAGGAACGCUAAUACCGCAUACGUCCUACGGGAGAAAGCAGGGGACCUUCGGGCCUUGCGCUAAUAGAUGAGCCUAGGUCGGAUUAGCUAGUUGGUGAGGUAAUGGCUCACCAAGGCGACGAUCCGUAACUGGUCUGAGAGGAUGAUCAGUCACACUGGAACUGAGACACGGUCCAGACUCCUACGGGAGGCAGCAGUGGGGAAUAUUGGACAAUGGGCGAAAGCCUGAUCCAGCCAUGCCGCGUGUGUGAAGAAGGUCUUCGGAUUGUAAAGCACUUUAAGUUGGGAGGAAGGGUUGUAGAUUAAUACUCUGCAAUUUUGACGUCACCGACAGAAUAAGCACCGGCUAACUCUGUGCCAGCAGCCGCGGUAAU